GGUGAUAUAGCUUAGUUGGUAGAGUGCUUGUCUUGCAUACACAAGGCCUUGGGUUCGAUCCCUGGCACCA
RNAcentral lists this transfer RNA (70 nucleotides) under Urocitellus parryii (Arctic ground squirrel). Its description in RNAcentral is "Spermophilus parryii (Arctic ground squirrel) tRNA". It matches the Rfam family "tRNA". Rfam says of the family: Transfer RNA (tRNA) molecules are approximately 80 nucleotides in length. RNAcentral also lists the same sequence under 1 other name. Lineage: Eukaryota; Metazoa; Chordata; Mammalia; Rodentia; Sciuridae. The record is from Rfam by way of RNAcentral.